RNA transcript from Papaver somniferum (opium poppy), 2346 nucleotides. RefSeq lists it as uncharacterized. NCBI's taxonomy places the organism in Eukaryota, Viridiplantae, Streptophyta, Magnoliopsida, Ranunculales, Papaveraceae. The record is from RefSeq and is a predicted model, not a curated record. The transcript is spliced from 7 exons.
UUCUCCUCCAACUGCAAAGUUUUAUUCUCAAUGUGUAGCAAUCAUCAAAUACUGUAAGUGAAUCUAAACUCACCAACUUUAGAAUUCUUUAAGCUUUCAAUUGUAGCGAUAUAAUAAAAAAAUAUCGAUUUUUUUUUGUGAAGUAAUGGAUGGAGUUAAUGUCAAUGAAUAGUAGUAACUCAAUGACUAUGUGGUAGUAUCUCUAAUUUAGUUGAAAGGAGUGAUUUGUAUGGUCAGAUUACUUAUUCAAUACAUGGGUUUUUGAUUUCUCUAUAGAAAAACAGAAUGAAUGUGUUUUCUGUGAGGAGAAAACAACCUAAUUUCAGAAUACUCUUUUUAAAGAUUAGAGUAAGAAAGAUUCAAAAUUGGGGAAGCUUUCUGCGAUUCGGAUAAUGAAGAUGAUGAUAAUUCAUAGGAGCAAGUGGAAAAUGUUUGAAUUGGUUGAGGGAAAUGAGUCUGGUGAAGAAAAUUCAAGUAUGGAGAUCUUUCAAGUAUAUGAACAUAAUUUGAAGGUUGAAAGGGGGUUGCGAGAUAAAGGAGUAACCGAAGUUCGGAGAUAACUAUUGGAAGAUGGAUUGAAGACCAGGGAAGGAUGGUAGAUUCUGUUUUUAGUGAGUCUAGGGAUACUGUUAUUCCAGGAAAGGUCGCGACUACAAGAAAACUGGUGUUGUUGGAAAGCUUUAGAUGGAAUAAGGAUGACUGGGAAGAAGAAUCUGGUCUGAAUGAAGGCAAAGCAGAUAUGCAUAAGCAACGUCUGAUUCAAGACGAUUUUCAGGUAAGCUUUAGUCGUGCUAGUGAUGCGGUUGGGACGACUGAUUAUUCUCCCUUUGGAAAGUGUAGGAUGAGAAAUGAUAAAGUUUAUAGGCGGAAUGUAGAUAUGGAUCCAAGUUAGUGCACAAUAAAUCGUAGUUGGACUCGUAGUAAGGAAUACUAUGGAAGUAAUGCUGAAAGAGGAGGGGGUGAGAUUAUGCAUGAUAGAGGAGUGCAAAAAAAUGAGUACUUUCCUGUGAGUUAUUAUGAAUGGAAGAUUGACGGGACAAAGAUGUCUAGAAGUGUUUAUAGGAGAAAUCCCAAUGAAAAUCGAAGUCCUGUGUUGAUAGAGCAACAUGGUCCUAGCAGCAUAAGUAGCUCAUCAGGCAAUUGGAAGUUUAUAAGGGAAAAACUCGUCAAAAAUGAGGAUGAUUGGAGUAUUGCGGAGACAGGAAGUUCUGCCUUCAAGUCGUUGAGGAAUUCACUGAUGUUAAACGCAUGCCCCGAGCUCAUGGCACAAAAUGGAGGAGCAAAUCCAAAAUCUAGCAAAGUGAGUUUCUCUUUUCAGACUGAAUGGUGCAGACAUCAUUUUGCCUGAGUGGAUGUUUUCUAAGAUAUGCGGAGUGCAAACGUCAGGUUCACGGAUCCUUCUUUUUUGAAGGUUAUUCAGGUGUUGGGUAGAUUUGGAAACUGGUGACGGAUGCUACAAGUCAUCGAGAGGUUUCAACUGUGUGAGCGUUCCAAGACCCACAAACCUGACAACAACGAUCUUCAUAUCCCAACCUUGCAGGUUAUCAUUGUAUUGCUGUCACCCUUUGGGCAAGCAGGACAAAUGAAGGAACUAUAAGAUGUCAUAGAAUGUGUGCAUUCUCCUCCUCCCAAAGAAGUGCAAACUGGGGGAGUUUGAUGAUUAGGAUCCAUGGUUGGAACCAGUUCAUGUUUUCUAUAAUGCUGCAACCAAUUGAGCUUGGAAUCCUUUUAGAUGGAUCAUGGAAUGAUGAUGAUCACUUGUGUUUUCAAAGAAUGCACCAAUUUCUUACAUUCAUUUCUUGUAAAUACUUUUUGGAAAGAAGGGAUGAGGCUGUGGCUGCAAUUAAAAAUAUGGAGACACGAGGACUCAUGGGUACUACUAGUCUUUAAUAUGAUCUUGCACUAUGUCUCUGUAGUGCAGACUGAAGACCAGAUGAGAAGAAACACUGAUGCAGAGAAGAAAUUGGAAGAUUUUACUUUUAUAUAUCAGCAGAUGUUGCAUCCUAGGUGCCACUUCAACACAAGGCGUCACAUAAUGCUCUUGGAGGCUUGUAGAGCUGGAAAGGGUGAAUUACUUGGAAACACUUGACUCAAGCAAAUAGAGUUUUACCUACUCCCAUCAUCAAGGGAGAGACUUUGUAUGGAACUGGAGAAAAAUGACAUUCCCGGAGCCAUCUCCUGCAUAACUAGUACAAGUCUAACAACAAGUGAACUUUAUGCUUUCUCUGAGAAGGUUAGGUUGUAUUUACUCAAUAACAAUUCAAAUAGAUUUCAAAAGGAUACUCUUAUUAGUUCGAUUCGUGAAUUGAACAAUAUUGAUGCUGGAAGUGAUUGGUCGAACCCAAA